RNAcentral lists this ribosomal RNA (506 nucleotides) under Salmonella enterica subsp. enterica serovar Chailey. RNAcentral describes it as "partial 23S ribosomal RNA". It matches the Rfam family "Bacterial large subunit ribosomal RNA", at positions 1942 to 2447 of the family's 2925-position model. Lineage: Bacteria; Pseudomonadati; Pseudomonadota; Gammaproteobacteria; Enterobacterales; Enterobacteriaceae. The record is from RNAcentral.
AUAACGGUCCUAAGGUAGCGAAAUUCCUUGUCGGGUAAGUUCCGACCUGCACGAAUGGCGUAAUGAUGGCCAGGCUGUCUCCACCCGAGACUCAGUGAAAUUGAACUCGCUGUGAAGAUGCAGUGUACCCGCGGCAAGACGGAAAGACCCCGUGAACCUUUACUAUAGCUUGACACUGAACAUUGAGCCUUGAUGUGUAGGAUAGGUGGGAGGCUUUGAAGUGUGGACGCCAGUCUGCAUGGAGCCGACCUUGAAAUACCACCCUUUAAUGUUUGAUGUUCUAACGUGGACCCGUUACCCGGGUUGCGGACAGUGUCUGGUGGGUAGUUUGACUGGGGCGGUCUCCUCCUAAAGAGUAACGGAGGAGCACGAAGGUUGGCUAAUCCUGGUCGGACAUCAGGAGGUUAGUGCAAUGGCAUAAGCCAGCUUGACUGCGAGCGUGACGGCGCGAGCAGGUGCGAAAGCAGGUCAUAGUGAUCCGGUGGUUCUGAAUGGAAGGGCCAUCG